RNAcentral lists this ribosomal RNA (544 nucleotides) under Rhodotorula mucilaginosa. RNAcentral describes it as "partial large subunit ribosomal RNA". It matches the Rfam family "Eukaryotic large subunit ribosomal RNA", at positions 97 to 656 of the family's 3401-position model. The record is from RNAcentral. Lineage: Eukaryota; Fungi; Basidiomycota; Microbotryomycetes; Sporidiobolales; Sporidiobolaceae.
AGCGGGAAGAGCUCAAAUUUAUAAUCUGGCACCUUCGGUGUCCGAGUUGUAAUCUCUAGAAAUGUUUUCCGCGUUGGACCGCACACAAGUCUGUUGGAAUACAGCGGCAUAGUGGUGAGACCCCCGUAUAUGGUGCGGACGCCCAGCGCUUUGUGAUACAUUUUCGAAGAGUCGAGUUGUUUGGGAAUGCAGCUCAAAUUGGGUGGUAAAUUCCAUCUAAAGCUAAAUAUUGGCGAGAGACCGAUAGCGAACAAGUACCGUGAGGGAAAGAUGAAAAGCACUUUGGAAAGAGAGUUAACAGUACGUGAAAUUGUUGGAAGGGAAACGCUUGAAGUCAGACUUGCUUGCCGAGCAAUCGGUUUGCAGGCCAGCAUCAGUUUUCCGGGAUGGAUAAUGGUAGAGAGAAGGUAGCAGUUUCGGCUGUGUUAUAGCUCUCUGCUGGAUACAUCUUGGGGGACUGAGGAACGCAGUGUGCCUUUUGGCGGGGGUUUCGACCUCUUCACACUUAGGAUGCUGGUGGAAUGGCUUUAAACGACCCGUCUUG